RNAcentral lists this long non-coding RNA (813 nucleotides) under Panax ginseng (ginseng). RNAcentral's name for it is "long non-coding RNA (PGIN_LNC018132)". Lineage: Eukaryota; Viridiplantae; Streptophyta; Magnoliopsida; Apiales; Araliaceae. The record is from RNAcentral.
CCCUCUCGAUCUCCUGAAGCUUGCUGGUGGUGGGAUUGAUCUAACCAAAUACCCGGCUGGUGCUGAUGUUGCUAGGUAAUUAAGAUUAUAUAUGAGGAAGGAGGACUAUAUACUAAUCAGAAAAAUUGAUGAUGAUUUUUAGAAGAAGAAUUAGGGGCCUUACCUGUUCUGAAACUCACCAGCUGUUGCUCUUCUUAACCCUUGUCCACUGCUCCCCAUCAAGAAUGAUUUGGUCAGAUCUCACUCGAUCUUAUUAUUUUGGAGCUCCGGCCCAACUAUUUCGUUUUUUCCCACCAAACAACAUACUCCUAUAUAUAUAGUACGUGCUAACUAGAUCUACUGCCUAUAUGUAUGUAGUAUGUACAAUUAGUUAAUGAGUAUUAGCUGGAGUAUUACUUAAUGGGUGGUUUAGUUAGCUAGUAGGGUUGAGAAGUAUAUAUUGGCAAAAAAAAAUAUAUAGGAAUUUCUGAGGACCCAAUUAACUGAGAAACCGAGGAGGAAGGAACUGAUCACCCUUUACUACCUGCAAGAAAUAAGAAGAGGGUCGGUUGCUUUCUUUCUUCUUAAUUUGACCGACUAAAAGAGGAACACAAUAUAUAUAUGUAUAUAUCCCAACACCUAAUUACAAGCUAGAUGGAUACCCCAUGGACGCUUCAUUCAAAAUCUUCGACGGUCACUGCUUCUACUUGUUGACCUUCCUUAGAGAGAGAAAAUAACUAAAAGGGGAAGGGUUAUAUAUGGGAAAUUUUGUAUAGUGGAUACCUCCAUGGAAGCUUCUCUAGUUAAGCAAUUUUUCCCUUUGAAUAAUAAAAU